This is a long non-coding RNA of Anas platyrhynchos (mallard), 9644 nucleotides long. RefSeq lists it as uncharacterized. Lineage: Eukaryota; Metazoa; Chordata; Aves; Anseriformes; Anatidae. The record is from RefSeq and is a predicted model, not a curated record.
AGAAAGAGAACAGUGUUCAUGUAGUCAUGUUUGAUGUAAGAGUAACAAUUGUCCAUACUUUGGAGGAAAGCUGGUCUCUGUUUUCUACAAAUCAAACAUCCACAUCACAAAAAAUGCACUCUCAAGCCCACUGUGAAUUGUCAGUGUUAUUUCAAAAUUCAAGGACACCAGGGCUGGGAAUAUUAAUAGCUUCAUUAAUAUUCUGGACUCUAAAAUGUUCUUAAACUACCUUGAUAAAAUUUUGUUUGGUUUCCCCUAGUUUUUGUUUACUUCUAGAGCAGGUUGAAAUGUUCCAAUUUUUCCCUGGGACCAAUUUAUGAACAAAUAGGAAAAUACUGAGCAAACAGGGAAAUAUUUGUGAAAAAAUAAAUUCCUUUUCAUUUAACCUCUGGAAAACACUUUCACUGGCAAAACAAUCACCUGGGCUACAUUAUAUGUUUUAGUGAGUGAAGCUCUCAGAAAGAAGUUCACAUUGCAUAUGGCGUGUCUUGUAAACAUCACAUUUAAUCUAAAAGUGAAUUAAGGCAGGCUUGGGGAAUGGUUAGGAAAAUGGAAUUCAUUAUUAAAGGGAUAAUUUUGAAUAAAUGAAGUAGAAGCUCAUCAGAUUAUGUGUAAUUCUAAGCCACUUCCUCAUUCCACACUCUGUUGGAUCUACCCUAUUACCUCUCUUUGCAUGAACAGACCCCCCAUUGCAAAAUAGGGCAGCUGGGCAGUAGGGCAUUGCAUAGGAUGCCCCACAGAGAACCAAUUGCUAAGCUUGCUGGAGAGAGUAUGUUUGCAUUAUAACUUCUCAUGAUUUUUGGUUGCACUCCUGAUUUGAUUUCAAAUACUUCUUGUGGUGGGAAAAUCAUCACCUCCAAAGAAUAACUACGCAUUUGCAAAUCUUCCAGGCACAAAGAAGUCUUUGGUUGGGUAAUAUGUGUUCCAACAAACUAUCAGAGCAUCUCCAAGUACUUGUGUGUCAGCUAAUCCCAUUAGAUUUGGCUGUGCAAUGGAGACAGACCUACCGACGAUGGACAGGGUGUACACUAUGUGGACCUUAAUCAGGCCUUGGUACAUGCUUUGGAGAACCUGAGGACAAGAGGAUUUCUGGUUUAUUACUAGCUGUAUCAAAUGAAAGGUGUAAAAUAAUUGUUAUCCAAAAACUUCGCAUGAUGGCCAAGUUUGGAACGUGUUGAGAACCAAACACUUUUGACUCCAUGCUCUGGUUUUGCCACUGGGAGUGUUAAUUUAAUUUUAGAUACCAUCCAGAGUUUAUAAACUCCUGGUUCUGUCAGUCUGAAUCCACACAUCAAGCAGAAAACAGUCUGGUGGCACUGGAUUUACCCUGAGUGAGAAGAAUCUCAUCCACUGACUCCCAAAAGACUAAGAGAAACUUUAAAGAGAAAUGCUUAAAGCAAGAUAUAAAAAUAGGGAUCUCUGUAAAAUCUUCUUUUAAAGACGGUCUUGUAUACAUUGGUUUCAUGUUAUAUAAUGGCAUGUCAGACAUGCUCUGCCUCCAUCCGAUGGCUGAGCCCUUUUCACUCAACACAGUACAGAGCACACACAAUCCUGAACUGGUAACAACUCCAUGCUUCGCAUGGACAACAUAUUUUGGAAGACAUUGAGAGACUGGAUUCAAAACAAAUAUAGAGAAAAUAAGAAAGACGUAAUGUGUAAAGGAGUAUUUCACGCACGUCCAAAUUAUGCCUGGACGAAGUAUUCUGUGAGAAAAAUAGCACCGUGCAGGGAGAAGGGAAAGCGCAGUUGAGUGGGGUGGACAAAGAGCCAGCUCAGAUGAGCCUGGCUGAACAGCGGUUACUGGGCUGUAAAAAAUGGACAUGGCAAAUGUACUGCAUUUACUUAAGGCCCCAUGAACCUCCAGGGAAAAGAGAGCAUUCACAGAGUGGCUCCACUGACAGCAAAAAAGUUUCAUUAUUAUUAGUCAUAUGCUGAGGAUGUCAAGGAAUUUUAAGGCCGCACUCUUUGCAUUUUUAGAGGUUAUUAAUGAAAUAGCAUAGCAAGGUGAAUUACAUUAAAAUAUUUUUCUAACCAUUCCAGAAAUCUGGGUCCAAGUUGGCAUAGGGCUGGCAAGUGGUGAACUUUUGACCGAAGCUCAGAUUGCCGGGAGACACAUCCUCCUUGUUAGUUUCGGGUGACAGUUCACUGUACUAGAGACAUCCACUUGUGUGUAAAGAGGCAAGUGGGGGAGGAAGAUUUAGCGCUGCAUUUUCACAGGGGCAAGAAAUUCCAUCCAGCUCAAAUGUGUUUUGGCCCACUGCCCGGCUCCUUGUCAAACACAUGACCAUCACUCGGCUUCCUAUUUCUGGCCCGAAUCUGGAUCCUGGGGAUAAGCGAGCCCCAUUAGUGGUUAAAAUUAGGCAGCCGAGCUGUGACAACACAUGCUGACUCUCCAACGGAGGGUAGACAUAUUUAAAAACCAAAAAAGAGCGAGACGCCCCAAGAUUUAAUGUCAGCUGCCGUGUGUAAUUCAUCAGUUUGGGCUCCUAUAAUGGAUAUAGCAGCUGAUCUACCUUACUGGAGAAGACUUAGAAGUCUUUUCUGGCUUCUUCUGACCAGACUUCCUAUAAUGAUUGUUAAAGACGAGAAUAUGCCAUUAUUUUUUUUCAUGGUAGAAGUGCAUCGCCUUCACUUCUUACCCUGCCCUGAUUUAGUCAUAUGAUGGACAAAUUCUUCUGACCUGAGAAUGAAGAACUUGGACACCUGGUUUCUACAAAGCUGUACUUUAACUGGGAAAGUUUAUUUUAAAUUGAAACAUCAGCAGACCAGCUGGUUAGAAAGUAGACAUUUUGGUUUGCUUGGUAAUCAGAAGUUUUCAUUUACCAAAAUAAAUGAGCCAAACUUAUUGUGCAUGUGUGGACUAUUUUCUUGGAUGCAGCACUAGGAUGCAGCGCUAUUACACUUGUAUCCUCUUGUGUCACACUUACCUCCAUCCACUUGGCUGGUGACUCUGGCCAUGGCAGCCCAUUUGGCAAGGUCCCACACAGCUCUCUAGGCUUUAUGAUAUUUCCACAGCCUGAAAUGCCCUUAUUUCAUGAAAUUAUCUGUCCUUGAAAUCCUUUCCUAAGCCUUUUCUGUAUGUUGAAGUGUAUCUCAGAAAUUGGCUAGGGAAUAUCAGCCUGGAUGAGUUGGCUAUUGUAGUGAUUGGUGUUUCAUUUAAUUACAGGACUUUAAGAAGUGAACACACUUUUUCACAUAGACUCUGCAGCCUUUCUCAUCACCAACCUCUGUGUUACGAACUCAUGAUUCUGAAUUAAGAAGUCUGAUGGUGAUGUGAAGAUCAAACUGAUCUGCUCUGUUACGCAAUGAGCCCUUGCAUUGCACAGCCACCUGCUCAAGUCAGUCUUCUCAACCUUAUGAGAGUUUAAAGACUUUUGAAAAUGAAGGUGAAUUUAUAUAUCCUUCAGUCUCUUCCAUGAAAGAUUUUAGAUUUUGUAAUUGUCUCAGCUGCGCUGUGGUCUCUGCCAGUUGUGCUGGUGAGGUGGAGAACCAGAACUGCUCCAAACACUCCUGGCUAGAAGUAGUUUGCUGGACCUAGUCUGGGCUGUAUGGCAUACCCCUCUGGGAUAAACACCCUCUAACAAAGAAAAUACAGUCAGAGAAAGCUUUCUGGGGUACUUGUGAGAUGGGAAUGGGGAAUGCUCCCUCUGAUUCUGAUGGUGGCAUAAAGAAACAACUAACUAGCCCACAAGAUGCCUAAACAUGUGUGUUAAAAACAAGGCUUGGGUUUUACACUGAGAAAAAUGGGGUAGGUAACACAGGUUGGAAUAGCACAUUUGUUGUAGAAAACCACUAAGGAGACAGCCCGAGGUACAUUAUUCUAACAGAAAUCUCAAAGAGGUCGUCAGUUAUAGCACAAAGCAAGACACUUGUAUUUAAUAAGAAAUACACUUACUAAGCAAAAGAGCAGUAAGAAAUGUGCCUGAUAUGCUUUUGCAAAUGUCUGCCAUUAUUAACAGUCUGGUAUUUUAAAUGCUUCCAGUCUAAUGAAAGCUUUGAAGCCAAAGGAAAUACAACUGAUACUUGUGGGCUGAUUACUCUUUGUGUAAUGCAAUUGUGUAAGCAAUGCCACAGAGGCAGAGAAAUUCCAGGUGCUGGCUCAGGUGUGACAAAGCGUGCUAGCUACACUUUGGAUAGGAAGAGGCCAAGGCAGAUCAAGUCAGACACCUUGGCACAAUGUUCCUACCUUCCCUUUGGCUCAGGGUGCAGCGUGAAACAGGUGCCCUGGAGCUGGCCCUGAGCUGGCUCCAGGUCUGCAUGUAGCACAGACUACUAACCAAGCCCACGCAGACCUAGAUGGGGGGACCACAGACUGAAACUCAACCCUCAACCCCAAGACAGUAAUUUAGGCUUUUUGAUUAUAUGGGAUGUCACAGCCUGCUGCACAAUGGAGAAUUGGUUGUGCCUGUUGGCGUCUGAGUUUUGCAGUCAUGGGGCUUGCAUGUAAGUGUGCAUAUGUGGAUGUUUUAACAUGCUGCCAUUGCAGUUGGGUUAAUAAAUAUGUGGCAGGCAAAAAAUGGCACAUGGUGUUGGUUACUGUUUGGACAGAAACUAGUUAAAGAAUCACUAGUGGUUCAGGUCUGGUGCAACAAACUCCCCCCUUUCCUUUCUCUCUUGAGUGCUCUUUGCCCUCUACUAGCAGGGUCUCAACUGGUUUUUCUGUUGUGCUCAGCAGUCCACUGUGCUUGCCCCACAAUAUGCCAGUGAAUUCCUCUUGCUCGCAGAGUGCCAGCAGCUGCCACUCAAGAGAGAAGAUCAAGAAAAUUCCAGGCAAGACAGAGAUGACCUGUCCAACUGGCAAGGGGACUGUCACCAAGGGGAGCAGGGUCUCAGCUCCCCCGCUUACUAUUGCCAGUUGACCUGAGCACCGUUGGCCCAGCUGGUAUUUCCUGUGCCACCUCUGGGUUGCCUACUUCUUCCUUUUCACUGUGGACUUUCUAUAACGUGUGUUUAAUGGAGAUGGGCUUUGCUGUCAGUUAAUUAAACAGCAUUCUUAUUGUGGCUUUCUGACUAAGUUUAAAAAUAUAUAUUAGUGUAGAUGGCUGAAUUGCCAUUAAGGAGAUCUUCUGCAGACAUGAAGAGCCUGUGGUCUGUGCCUAGGCACACACAGCUAUGCAUCUCAGUCUCCACAGUAGUAACAAAUGUCAUCUAUAUACAGAAGCUACUCACAUAUCUCUUUUGGCUGACAUUAUUGAUGCUUGUUUUUCUGAAUAUGUGUAUCAACUAAUUGCUACUGCCAAAGUUUUAAGAGUCAGAUCAAAUAAUAAAAGCUGUUGGUGGUUAAGCAACACUCUGAACUCCCUGAGCCCUUGGAAAUGUGGAAGAAUUAUUUUCAUUGGUUUGACAUCUUCCCUUUCACUGUACAUUAGAAUUAUUGUGUAGGCAAUGUUCCAAAAGUGUGCUUAUUCGCUACUUUCACUUCUGUACACGUGCCAUUGACAGCACCCUUCUUUGGAAACAAAGCUUCCCUACACCCUGUGAGAAAGGGAGUGGCAGAAGGGAAAAAUGAAGCAUGAGGAACCUUGCAGACUGCUGUGAGUUAUUAUCACAGUUCCCUUCUUGUCUAAAUUGUGUGCAGGCUGGAGCUCCCAGAUCCAUCCUUGACUUUGUCUACUUGGUCAAAAACUGUCCCCAUGAGGUGGCCCAUUCAGGUUAACUAGAGGAACUUUCUGUGGUCAGAGCUGUUGGUGAACUUUCCUUUGCUUUGUUUUUCCUGUAGCUUUCCAGUGUCACUUUUCUGGUUCUUGAACUCUUCCAAAACCAAUUUCAGAGAUAGGUAGCUACACAGUGUUUCCAAACUGAUGAAGAAAAUGUGUUCAGCAGGCUUCCUCUUCAAAAUAUUUACUUUGGAAAACAAGAAACAGCCUGUGGCAUAAGAGGUGUGGGAUAUCCACAAACUUAGCAGGGUAAUGCAGACUUCUUGAAGGAAUAUUAGAGCAGUGCAUCUUUAAUACUAGAGAGCAGGUAAGGUUAAUGUUGGAGGUAAUCAGGUUGAGCUUUCUUUUAGGGGCCACUAUUUUUCUUCAUCUCUUUUCCUUACAUGUGCCUGUAAACCCAUAUACACCAUACUUUACAUAAGAUUUGCUUUUUGAUUCAAUUUCCUUUAUUACAAAAGCAAUACAGGUAAAAUUCCUGACUGCAUUAGUUUCCUAUUGUACAAUUUCAAUAACAGUCUACAUGUUUUUCCUUGUUUGUCACUUGUAAGAACUAAAUGUGCCUCGCAAAGCCAUUGUAACCAUCACAUCAUGCAAAACCACAUCUCUUGUCCUCAUUGUCCAGGUGAUAUGGUCAUCUUGUUCAAUCUCAUUUAAAUGCUUUUCUAGAGCAACUGUAAGUGCCUACCCAUUUUGCUGACACAGGCAUAAUUAAUUAGCACUCACCUGACCCAGUUUAGGACACAUUAUCAUUCACUUGACCUUUAGCAACUUGUUAUCCAACACCUUGGUUGUGUCCUCCUAGGCAUCCUGUCCAUUCUAAGCAUCCUGUAUAACUAAGACCAUGAGCAUGUCACGUUUAUAUGGUCCAGACUUCUAACAUUUUCUUCACCAGUCCUAUGCAUCAGCCCCAUUCUUGUCCCUUCGUCUCUACUACUUGCUUACCCUGAAGAUGACUUCUGAGUCACUGCACAUGACCUUAUUUCCAGGCCUUGGCUGCAACACAGUCUGUCUGACGAGAAUUUUGGGAGGCAGUAUUUUGCGUAACCCUUGUCUUUCUGUUUUCCCCAGACUACAAAGAGUACAAGGCAGUUUUACAUCAGGCAGGCAGUGAAAUGGGUCCACUGUCACUGUGGUAUGACUGCCCAUGUUUCUAAAUCACUUCUAACUCACAGGACUUCUGAAUUCAGGGGAGGCAGAUGGUUGGCUUCUGCUUAUAAAUACAGAUUUUUUUGUUAGAGGAAAAAAGGGGAGAACGGGAUCUCUCCUAAUAAGCUACAACUAGCAGUAGCUCAUCAGUACUGCUCGUAAAUUUUGGAGUAGUAAAGAUGGAGAGUCUUUACCCACUUGUUAAACUCCAUCUCCUUUUCUCUUGCCACAACACUAGCAGCACUUGGGUUGCUGUCCCAGAAGGCUGGGUGGAGCAGGAAAAUAGGAGAAAAAGGGAGACAUGACUGAUGAGGAGAGACAAUGAGUUUUUCCACAGCUAUUUCAGGAGCUUUUUUUGGUUCAUUGUGUCUACACCUCCAGGAGGAACUCUCUGGCCUGCAGAGGGAGCCCAUCUUGUCUUUCUAUGCAAACGUGCAAAGUUGGCUCCAUCUCCCCAUUCCCAGUGAGUUUACCCAUUUCUAAAACAGUCUUGCUUAUCCUCUGGACAUUGCCAGUGAGGAGUUACCACAGACAUUCCAUCUUGAGAUAUAACCUCAUCAUCAAAUUUGAGGUUCUUUCUGUGAAAAUAUCCUUUCCUUGCCUAUCAGUUAAGUGAAAUAAUUAAAUUCACAAGUACUGUGGAUUCAUCUUUUACAGUGCAUUUUCAAUGGGCCUCAUGUAGGCUCUUCAAAGGACCAAGGCUCACUGCCAAGGAAAGGAAUUGCAGUCCAAGUUUGCGCACAUAACUCCAGGCUUACUCUAACAACACCUUUGUUUUUCAAACAUAUGCUCUAAGCUGGCAGAUGUUAUUUAGCUACCCUCCAUUAAGCACCUGACUCAGGCUUGCAGCCUGGAAAAAGUAACCUCAUGUUAGGCUUUGUGGAUUGCCUAAGAACCUGAUAUACCUAAACUCCCUCUGCAACCAUCCUAGUGAGAUCUCGUGGCAGUGAUAUAUACUUAGAACCGUUUAAGUAGGGAACACAGAACAAGAGCUGAACAUUGCCAAGGUGGCCGUGAUCUUGGGUGUGACAGUGAAGCUAAGGAAUGGCACAGGACCUGUCCUCAUGUGGAGAUUGUGGGGGAUUCUUCCUUCCCAUUCAUCAUGACUUUACUUUCCUGUGGGGAUUAUAGCAUUUGCUGAGAACGAAAUGUAAUAGUAGGAAAUUAUCUUGUGCAUUUUGAUAUGUCUAAGUGAUAUCGAGCAGGUGGAUACAUGAACAAAAGCUUCCAUCUACAAAAACAGAAGUCCUGUACUUGUCUUCUAUGGAUAAGCCUUUAUUAUUUAUGUUCUGCAAGGACAACAAGUCGAAAUGUCACAUCUAGGCAAGGACUGAGAAAGCCAUGUCAUCCAACUGGGCAAAGGAUAGAUUAUAUGACCAGUUAAAGAGGUGGAGUGGGGGUAAUGUUGUAGGGAAAGUUUCAAGACAGAGGAGAAGAGAGAGGAAUAGAGAUAAUGAGGCAAAAAUAUCAGGAAAGGAAGGUGGAUAGUUCUGACUCAUCUUGGAAAAUUAAAAGAAAAUGACCCUGAGGGAAUUUAGGGAGUGUUGAAGCUGCCUGCAGAAAUAAUAUGAGACAUGAAAUUACAUCUAUGAAUUAAUUCAGCAUUCCUACACCAGAUACUGCAGCAUAGUACCUCACAUACACAGCAUGACCAGUACUAAGUGUGAAUAUUAGCCUACAUUUGUGUUUUUGCCACCUUCUCAGCUCUUUCUUUGCUUUCAGCCCCUGAAGAAGUUUAUGAUGGGGUGAUGAAUACACAAGCAGAUCAGACUUCAGCCUGGAAGUGAAUAGCUCUGGGUAUUUGUUUUGGUUGCAACAGAUUCAAUAGUGGUGUCUACUGUAGGCUUUGCAACUAACUGAGCAGUGUGCUGAUUGUUCAUGGCAUGGAGCACUGAUAUAUUACUGAAGGCAAGAUAAGAUCAGGCCACCAUGUUGUUAAGCAGACAAUGUCUUACAUCUUUCCCUGUUUAGUCUAGUAAGUGACAUUGUCACUGCACACCAUCAUGCAUUGUAAAUCCCAAAGAUAAAAUCCACUCCCAUUCUAAUCUGUCUGAAUAUGAAGCAGAAGUGAGUUGGAAAUGGUGCAACCAAGCUAGAACUUGUUACUGCUCAGAGAAGUAGGAGGAAUACAGACUGAUUCAAAUGAAUCCAGGAAAUUUAUCAGACUGCUUUAUGACACGAAGAGUGACUUACCCUAGACAUUCCUGAAAUCCUACUGCUACAUACUGCUGUUUACACAAACCCAGAGAUUAUUCCUGUUGCAGGUUGUCACCAAGUGAUCUUCUCCUGGGAGGUUCAGACUAAAUAUUAGGAAAAAAUACUUUACCAUAAUGGUGGUAAAAUACUGGAACAGGCUCCCUAGAGAAGUGGUAGAUGCCCCAUGCCUGUCAGUGUUCAAGAGAUGUUUCACUAAUGCAGUAAAAUGCUUAAAUUAUAGUUAGCCCUUAAGUGGUCAGGCAGUUGGACUAGAUAAUUUUUGUAUGUCCCUUCCAACUGAACUCGUCCUGUCCCAUCCUCUCCUGUCCUCUCCUCUCCACUCCUUUCCUCUCAUUUCGUCUUUUGAUAUGUGGACUAUGCCAGCACAAAGAUAGGUGCUGGCAAUCUCAAUGCUGCAACACAGAAAUGCUCUGGUGUUUCAGGUCUAUUUUCCAGACAGAUCAUGUAUAUUCUUUUAAUACUUCAUAGCCAGUUAUAGUUGGAACUCAUCACUACAGAAUGAACAUUUUUUUCCCCCAAAUUAGAGCUUCAUCUGAUCUUAAAACUUCAAUACUGUAGCUUUGCAUUGAAGGAAGCUUGUUUAAUCAGCUUAAUUAGGAGGAAAAAAAAAAGAAAAAGAAAAAA